GUGGAAGCUCUGGAGACUGAAGUCCUCCAUUUAUCUACAGACCAGGGAGGGCACAGGCAACAACAAUACAAGUUACCCCCACAUUGACAGCAUUCCUCAACCUUCUUCUGGAAGCACUGCCUCUGUGGGCUAGAGAGUAAUUCAUUCUCCGUGUCCAUUCAGUUCUUAGAGCCU
Molecule: unclassified non-coding RNA, 174 nt
Organism: Chelonoidis abingdonii (Abingdon island giant tortoise)
Lineage: Eukaryota; Metazoa; Chordata; Testudines; Testudinidae
Source: Ensembl